This 549-nucleotide ribosomal RNA is filed under the name Ziba carinata. Its description in RNAcentral is "partial 16S ribosomal RNA". It matches the Rfam family "Bacterial large subunit ribosomal RNA", at positions 1798 to 2613 of the family's 2925-position model. Lineage: Eukaryota; Metazoa; Mollusca; Gastropoda; Neogastropoda; Mitridae. The record is from RNAcentral.
GCCUGUUUAUCAAAAACAUCGCUCCCUGUACAAAAUAAAUAGGGAGUCGGACCUGCCCAGUGAAUUUUUAACGGCCGCGGUACUCUGACCGUGCAAAGGUAGCAUAAUAAUUUGCCUUAUAAUUGAAGGCUGGUAUGAAUGGUUUGACGAGAAUAAAGCUGUCUCUUUGCAAUUUACUAGAAAUUUAUUUGCGGAUGAAAAAGUCCGUAUUUGAUUAAAAGACAAGAAGACCCUAUCGAGCUUUAAAGAAUUUAGUAGACUGGAAUAGCUAAUUAGGCCUAAAAAGCUAUCUAUUAAGUAUUUUAGUUGGGGCGACAAAGGAACAAAUAAAGCUUCCUUAAUGAUGCAAUCGUUUCCCUUAUUGGUCUUGAUCCAGAAUUUCUGAUUAAUAAAAUUAGUUACCGUAGGGAUAACAGCAUUAUCUUUUUUGAGAGCUCUUAUCGAAAAAAAGGUUUGUGACCUCGAUGUUGGACCAGAAUAUCCUAAAGAUGCAGCAGUCUUUAAAGGUUGGUCUGUUCGACCAUUAAUAUUCUACGUGAUCUGAGUUCA